AACGAACGCUGGCGGCAUGCCUAACACAUGCAAGUCGAACGAGACCUUCGGGUCUAGUGGCGCACGGGUGCGUAACGCGUGGGAACCUGCCCUUAGGUUCGGAAUAACUCCCCGAAAGGGGUGCUAAUACCGGAUAAUGUCUUCGGACCAAAGAUUUAUCGCCUUUGGAUGGGCCCGCGUUGGAUUAGCUAGUUGGUAGGGUAAAAGCCUACCAAGGCGAUGAUCCAUAGCUGGUCUGAGAGGAUGAUCAGCCACACUGGGACUGAGACACGGCCCAGACUCCUACGGGAGGCGGCAGUGGGGAAUAGUAGACAAUGGGCGAAAGCCUGAUCCAGCAAUGCCGCGUGAGUGAUGAAGGCCUUAGGGUUGUAAAGCUCUUUUACCCGGGAUGAUAAUGACAGUACCGGGAGAAUAAGCUCCGGCGAACUCCGUG
RNAcentral lists this ribosomal RNA (433 nucleotides) under uncultured bacterium. Its description in RNAcentral is "partial 16S ribosomal RNA". It matches the Rfam family "Bacterial small subunit ribosomal RNA", at positions 29 to 507 of the family's 1533-position model. The record is from RNAcentral.